RNAcentral lists this long non-coding RNA (261 nucleotides) under Elaeis guineensis (African oil palm). RNAcentral's name for it is "long non-coding RNA (EGUI_LNC028689)". The record is from RNAcentral. Lineage: Eukaryota; Viridiplantae; Streptophyta; Magnoliopsida; Arecales; Arecaceae.
GUCACAGUCUUUUCACAUUUCCAUGGUGGCCAAAGAAGAGGGAGAAGAUCGACUCAAGUUGAGACAGACUAAAAGCAAUGGAGAUGAAAGCGAUGUCAUCCUGAUCUCUUUAAGGAGUUCAAUCCAUGAAAAUAGAUAGCAUUGCCAAAAGCUACCUCCAAAGUGAGGCAUCAUACCAAGGCAGAACAGAAUAAAUUGUCAACAAAUUCCUCUUGAUAACUCUUGGGAGAUGCAUGGCCCACACAAAGGUGCUUGCUAAUC